This 460-nucleotide ribosomal RNA is filed under the name uncultured bacterium. RNAcentral describes it as "partial 16S ribosomal RNA". It matches the Rfam family "Bacterial small subunit ribosomal RNA", at positions 338 to 795 of the family's 1533-position model. The record is from RNAcentral.
CCUACGGGUGGCAGCAGUGAGGAAUAUUGGUCAAUGGGCGCGAGCCUGAACCAGCCAAGUAGCGUGAAGGAUGACUGCCCUACGGGUUGUAAACUUCUUUUAUAAAGGAAUAAAGUGAGGCACGUGUGCCAUUUUGUACGUACUUUAUGAAUAAGGAUCGGCUAACUCCGUGCAAGCAGCCGCGGUAAUACGGAGGAUCCGAGCGUUAUCCGGUGUUAUUGGGUUUAAAGGGGGCGUAGAUGGGUUGUUAAGUUAGUUGUGAAAGUUUGCGGCUCAACCGUAAAAUUGCAAUUGAUACUGGCAGUCUAGAGUACAGUUGAGGUAGGCGGAAUUCGUGGUGUAGCGGUGAAAUGCUUAGAUAUCACGAAGAACUCCGAUUGCGAAGGCAGCUUACUAAACUGCCACUGACAUUGAUGCUCGAAAGUGUGGGUAUCAAACAGGAUUAGAUACCCGUGUAGUC